GACGAACGCUGGCGGCGUGCCUAAUACAUGCAAGUCGAACGCAUUUUCUUUCACCGUGGCUUGCUACACCGAGAGAAAAUGAGUGGCGAACGGGUGAGAAACACGUCGUUAACUUGCCCAUCAGCGAGGGAUAACACUUGGAAACAGGUGCUAAUACCGCGUAAUUCCGUUUGCUGCGUGGUAGAUGGGUGAAUGGCGCUUUUGCGUCACUUAUGGAUGUACCUGCGGUGCAUUAGCUAGUCGGUGGGGUAACGGCGUACCAAGGCUGCGAUGCAUAGCCGACCUGGGAGGGAGAGCGGCCACACUGGGACGGAGAAACGGCCCAGACGCCUACGGGAGGCAGCAGUAGGGAAUCCUCGGGGAAGGAGGCAAGUCUGACCGAGCAACGCCGCGGGAGUGAAGAAGGGUGUCGGAGCGUAAAACUCUGUUGUUAGAGAAGAAAAAGGAUGAGACUUGAAAGUUCAUGCCUUGACGGUAACUAAGCAGAAAGCCACGGCUAACUUCGUG
Molecule: ribosomal RNA, 507 nt
Filed under: uncultured bacterium
Lineage: Bacteria
Description: partial 16S ribosomal RNA
Rfam family: Bacterial small subunit ribosomal RNA
Source: RNAcentral